CAAUAGCGUAUAUUAAAGUUGUUGCAGUUAAAAAGCUCGUAGUUGGAUUUCGGGACGGGCCAGUUGGUCCGCCGCAAGGUGUGUUACUGACUGGUCUGUUCUUCUUCGCAAAGACUGCGUGUGCUCUUCGUUGAGUGUGCGUAGGAUUUACGACGUUUACCUUGAAAAAAUUAGAGUGUUCAAAGCAGGCUAUCGCUUGAAUACAUGAGCAUGGAAUAAUGGAAUAGGACUUUGGUCCUAUUUUGUUGGUUUCUAGGACCGAAGUAAUGAUUAAGAGGGACAAUUGGGGGCAUCCGUAUUUCGUUGUCAGAGGUGAAAUUCUUGGAUUUACGAAAGACGAACAACUGCGAAAGCACUUGCCAAGAGUGUUUUCAUUAA
RNAcentral lists this ribosomal RNA (378 nucleotides) under uncultured eukaryote. RNAcentral describes it as "partial 18S ribosomal RNA". It matches the Rfam family "Eukaryotic small subunit ribosomal RNA", at positions 592 to 976 of the family's 1831-position model. The record is from RNAcentral.